This 447-nucleotide ribosomal RNA is filed under the name uncultured bacterium. Its description in RNAcentral is "partial 16S ribosomal RNA". It matches the Rfam family "Bacterial small subunit ribosomal RNA", at positions 330 to 794 of the family's 1533-position model. The record is from RNAcentral.
GCCAGACUCCUACGGGAGGCAGCAGUGGGGAAUAUUGCACAAUGGGGGAAACCCUGAUGCAGCGACGCCGCGUGAGCGAAGAAGUACCUCGGUAUGUAAAGCUCUCUCAGCAGGGAAGAAGAUGACGGUACCUGACCAAGAAGCUCCGGCUAAAUACGUGCCAGCAGCCGCGGUAAUACGUAGGGGGCAAGCGUUAUCCGGAAUUACUGGGUGUAAAGGGAGCGCAGACGGCAGUGCAAGUCUGGAGUGAAAGCCCGUGGCUUAACUACGGGACUGCUCUGGAAACUGUGCAGCUAGAGUGCAGGAGAGGCAGGCGGAAUUCCUAGUGUAGCGGUGAAAUGCGUAGAUAUUAGGAGGAACACCGGUGGCGAAGGCGGCCUGCUGGACUGUAACUGACGUUGAGGCUCGAAAGCGUGGGGAGCAAACAGGAUUAGAUACCCCGGUACC